GGGCGUAAGGGCUCGCAGGCGGUUUCUUAAGUCUGAUGUGAAAGCCCCCGGCUCAACCGGGGAGGGUCAUUGGAAACUGGGAAACUUGAGUGCAGAAGAGGAGAGUGGAAUUCCACGUGUAGCGGUGAAAUGCGUAGAGAUGUGGAGGAACACCAGUGGCGAAGGCGACUCUCUGGUCUGUAACUGACGCUGAGGAGCGAAAGCGUGGGGAGCGAACAGGAUUAGAUACCCUGGUAGUCCACGCCGUAAACGAUGAGUGCUAAGUGUUAGGGGGUUUCCGCCCCUUAGUGCUGCAGCUAACGCAUUAAGCACUCCGCCUGGGGAGUACGGUCGCAAGACUGAAACUCAAAGGAAUUGACGGGGGCCCGCACAAGCGGUGGAGCAUGUGGUUUAAUUCGAAGCAACGCGAAGAACCUUACCAGGUCUUGACAUCCUCUGACAACCCUAGAGAUAGGGCUUUCCCUUCGGGGACAGAGUGACAGGUGGUGCAUGGUUGUCGUCAGCUCGUGUCGUGAGAUGUUGGGUUAAGUCCCGCAACGAGCGCAACCCUUGAUCUUAGUUGCCAGCAUUCAGUUGGGCACUCUAAGGUGACUGCCGGUGACAAACCGGAGGAAGGUGGGGAUGACGUCAAAUCAUCAUGCCCCUUAUGACCUGGGCUACACACGUGCUACAAUGGACAGAACAAAGGGCUGCAAGACCGCAAGGUUUAGCCAAUCGCAUAAAUCUGUUCUCAGUUCGGAUCGCAGUCUGCAACUCGACUGCGUGAGGCUGGAAUCGCUAGUAAUCGCGGAUCAGCAUGCCGCGGGUGAAUAC
This 813-nucleotide ribosomal RNA is filed under the name Bacillus subtilis. RNAcentral describes it as "bacterial SSU rRNA". It matches the Rfam family "Bacterial small subunit ribosomal RNA", at positions 556 to 1369 of the family's 1533-position model. Lineage: Bacteria; Bacillati; Bacillota; Bacilli; Caryophanales; Bacillaceae. The record is from RNAcentral.